This 508-nucleotide ribosomal RNA is filed under the name Rhizobium sp. EECC-213. Its description in RNAcentral is "bacterial SSU rRNA". It matches the Rfam family "Bacterial small subunit ribosomal RNA", at positions 132 to 674 of the family's 1533-position model. The record is from RNAcentral. Lineage: Bacteria; Pseudomonadati; Pseudomonadota; Alphaproteobacteria; Hyphomicrobiales; Rhizobiaceae.
UUUCCUGCGGAAUAGCUCCGGGAAACUGGAAUUAAUACCGCAUACGCCCUACGGGGGAAAGAUUUAUCGGGGAAGGAUUGGCCCGCGUUGGAUUAGCUAGUUGGUGGGGUAAAGGCCUACCAAGGCGACGAUCCAUAGCUGGUCUGAGAGGAUGAUCAGCCACAUUGGGACUGAGACACGGCCCAAACUCCUACGGGAGGCAGCAGUGGGGAAUAUUGGACAAUGGGCGCAAGCCUGAUCCAGCCAUGCCGCGUGAGUGAUGAAGGCCUUAGGGUUGUAAAGCUCUUUCACCGGAGAAGAUAAUGACGGUAUCCGGAGAAGAAGCCCCGGCUAACUUCGUGCCAGCAGCCGCGGUAAUACGAAGGGGGCUAGCGUUGUUCGGAAUUACUGGGCGUAAAGCGCACGUAGGCGGAUAUUUAAGUCAGGGGUGAAAUCCCAGAGCUCAACUCUGGAACUGCCUUUGAUACUGGGUAUCUUGAGUAUGGAAGAGGUAAGUGGAAUUCCGAGU